AACGAACGCUGGCGGCAUGCCUAACACAUGCAAGUCGAACGAGACCUUCGGGCCUAGUGGCGCACGGGUGCGUAACGCGUGGGAACCUGCCCUUAGGUUCGGAAUAACUCCUCGAAAGGGGUGCUAAUACCGGAUAAUGUCUUCGGACCAAAGAUUUAUCGCCUUUGGAUGGGCCCGCGUUGGAUUAGCUAGUUGGUAGGGUAAAAGCCUACCAAGGCGACGAUCCAUAGCUGGUCUGAGAGGAUGAUCAGCCACACUGGGACUGAGACACGGCCCAGACUCCUACGGGAGGCAGCAGUGGGGAAUAUUGGACAAUGGGCGAAAGCCUGAUCCAGCAAUGCCGCGUGAGUGAUGAAGGCCUUAGGGUUGUAAAGCUCUUUUACCCGGGAUGAUAAUGACAGUACCGGGAGAAUAAGCUCCGGCUAACUCCGUG
RNAcentral lists this ribosomal RNA (433 nucleotides) under uncultured bacterium. RNAcentral's name for it is "partial 16S ribosomal RNA". It matches the Rfam family "Bacterial small subunit ribosomal RNA", at positions 29 to 507 of the family's 1533-position model. The record is from RNAcentral.